This 108-nucleotide microRNA precursor is filed under the name Dasypus novemcinctus (nine-banded armadillo). Lineage: Eukaryota; Metazoa; Chordata; Mammalia; Cingulata; Dasypodidae. The record is from RNAcentral.
CCUGCCCGGUGCCACUGUUUGGCGCUCACAGCGAGGUUACCCUUUGUGUAUUCGGUUUAUUGACGUGGAAUAUACAAGGGCAAGCUCUCUGUGAGCAUCAAACCUUGU